This 506-nucleotide ribosomal RNA is filed under the name uncultured bacterium. Its description in RNAcentral is "partial 16S ribosomal RNA". It matches the Rfam family "Bacterial small subunit ribosomal RNA", at positions 28 to 523 of the family's 1533-position model. The record is from RNAcentral.
GAUGAACGCUAGCUACAGGCUUAACACAUGCAAGUCGAGGGGUAACGAGAGGAAAGCUUGCUUUCCUUGUUGACGACCGGCGCACGGGUGAGUAACGCGUAUCCAACCUGCCCCCAACUAGGGAAUAACCUUGCGAAAGUAAGACUAAUACCCUAUAAUUUCCUCAGAUGUCAUCUGACGAGGAAUAAAGAUUUAUCGGUUGUGGAUGGGGAUGCGUCUGAUUAGCUUGUUGGCGGGGUAACGGCCCACCAAGGCAACGAUCAGUAGGGGUUCUGAGAGGAAGGUCCCCCACAUUGGAACUGAGACACGGUCCAAACUCCUACGGGAGGCAGCAGUGAGGAAUAUUGGUCAAUGGGCGGAAGCCUGAACCAGCCAAGUAGCGUGCAGGAUGACGGCCCUACGGGUUGUAAACUGCUUUUAUACAGGAAUAAAGUUAGCCACGUGUGGUUAUUUGUAGGUACUGUAUGAAUAAGGACCGGCUAAUUCCGUGCCAGCCACCGCGGUAA